UCAAAAAUAUGUUCCAGAAUUUUAAAAAAUGUUUCGAAAUUUUAAAAAAUGUUCUGAUAUAUUUACUGAAUUGUUUCGGAUUCUUCAACUACUAGUCGCUAACUUUUUUUUAGUCUUCAGAUUCGCUCUGGUCGGUCCAGUCGGGGCUAACUUGGGUCGGUCCAGUCUGAGCGACCCCCUGUGCCCUGUGCGUCCGCUCGGCGGUUGCCGCAACCAGCGACGCGGUCCCCGAACUAGCCACCAUUUCUUCCCACGACUUGGACGAACCCUAGGCGAACCUGCGUGCCGCCAUCGCUGCCCGCCGCCGCCACUGCUCGGCACCGCCACCCGCCCUCGUGUCGGUCGAUCCUAUCGUGUCGGACACCCCCUUCCAGUCUGUUGCCCGUCCCUUAUAUCCCUUGUGCGGCCGUGCGACAUCAGGUUGCGCCGCUUCAGGCUGCUGCUCUGUCUGGUGAGGCACGCGAGCGGUGACUCCGACGAGAUGGGAUUGAUCUCUUCCGCAGACGGCUCCAUCCCCCACUUGAUGGUAUGUGGAGUAAGAUGCAAAUUGUUGCCAACGGUAUUCCUUGUCCGCAGGAACGGAUCAGGUUGGCUGGGCUCAUAGCUCCACCCGCAAGUUCACUACCAAGUCCAUGUAUAACCAGCUUGAAAAAAAAACAUUACAGGGUGUGACUUUCAUUGGAUUUGGAAGGCAAAGAUACCAUUGAAAAUCAAAAUCUUUCUCUCGCAACUUUGCCGAGAUGCUAUCUUGACUAGUGAUGUCAUGAGAAGAAGGAAUUGGCAUGGUAAUAACAAAUGUUCGUUCUGUGCUAAGCGUGAGACCUCGCAUCACUUGUUCUUUUUAUGCCCUACGGCUAGGAUGGUGUGGUGGAUUGUUGGGGCAGUCUUCGCAAUACUACUCCUGGUGCUAUGUUUUCUUGCCUGGUGGUUCUAAGUUCUAUACUUUUGGCU
This is a long non-coding RNA of Hordeum vulgare subsp. vulgare (domesticated barley), 951 nucleotides long. RefSeq lists it as uncharacterized. NCBI's taxonomy places the organism in Eukaryota, Viridiplantae, Streptophyta, Magnoliopsida, Poales, Poaceae. The transcript is spliced from 2 exons. The record is from RefSeq and is a predicted model, not a curated record.